CAUCCUUGAUCGGGAGGUCCGGGUAAUCUUUUGAAACUUCAUCGUGCUGGGGAUAGUCCCUUGCAAUUUUUGGACUUUAACGAGGAAUUCCUAGUAAGCGUGAGUCAUCAACUCGCGUUGAUUACGUCCCUGCCCUUUGUACACACCGCCCGUCGCUACUACCGAUUGAAUGGCUUAGUGAAUCCUUCGGAUUGGCUUUCUUUUCUGGCAACAGAAUUUGAUCGCUGAAAAGUUGGGCAAACUUGGUCAUUUAGAGGAAGUAAAAGUCGUAACAAGGUUUCCGUAGGUGAACCUGCGGAAGGAUCAUUAAAAAAUGAGACCUUUUUGAAAGGUCUAUUAAUAAUCCUACCCUUUGUGAAUUUGUUGUUUGAAAUAAUUUUUUUUCCAAAAAAAUUAUUGAAUGUCUUUCCCUGUUUGGUGGAGCUUGUAAAAGUGAAACCAUCAGGGGAAUGGCAAACAAUAAUUAUUUUGAAAAAAGACCUUUUUUUAAAAUUAAACUUUUAUGUAUUCAUUUGUCUAAAAUUAUUUUUAUAAUAUAAAAACAACUUUUGACAAUGGAUCUCUUGGUUCUCGCAACGAUGAAGAACGCAGCAAAAUGCGAUAAGUAGUGUGAAUUGCAGAAUACGUGAAUCAUCGAAUCUUCGAACGCAUAUUGCAC
Molecule: ribosomal RNA, 658 nt
Filed under: Caecomyces sp.
Lineage: Eukaryota; Fungi; Neocallimastigomycota; Neocallimastigomycetes; Neocallimastigales; Neocallimastigaceae
Description: bacterial SSU rRNA
Rfam family: Eukaryotic small subunit ribosomal RNA (bases 1-309)
Source: RNAcentral